AUUGAACGCUGGCGGCAUGCCUUACACAUGCAAGUCGAACGGCAGCACGGGUGUUUGCACCUGGUGGCGUGUGGCGAACGGGUGAGUAAUACAUCGGAACGUGUCCUGGAGUGGGGGAUCGCGCGGCGAAAGCCGGAUUAAUACCGCAUACGAUCUACGGAAGAGAGCGGGGGACCUUCGGGUCUCGCGCUUUGGGGGUGGCCGAUGGCUGAUUAGCUAGUUGGUGGGGUAAAGGCCUACCAAGGCGACGCUCAGUAGCUGGUCUGAGAGGACGACCAGCCACACUGGGACUGAGACACGGCCCAGACUCCUACGGGAGGCAGCAGUGGGGAAUUUUGGACAAUGGGCGAAAGCCUGAUCCAGCAAUGCCGCGUGUGUGAAGAAGGCCUUCGGGUUGUAAAGCACUUUUGUCCGGAAAGAAAUCCUUGGCCCUAAUACGGUCGGGGGAUGACGGUACCGGAAGAAUAAGCACCGGCUAACUACGUG
This 486-nucleotide ribosomal RNA is filed under the name uncultured bacterium. RNAcentral describes it as "partial 16S ribosomal RNA". It matches the Rfam family "Bacterial small subunit ribosomal RNA", at positions 29 to 507 of the family's 1533-position model. The record is from RNAcentral.